Molecule: ribosomal RNA, 280 nt
Filed under: Draparnaldioides baicalensis
Lineage: Eukaryota; Viridiplantae; Chlorophyta; Chlorophyceae; Chaetophorales; Chaetophoraceae
Description: partial small subunit ribosomal RNA
Rfam family: Eukaryotic small subunit ribosomal RNA
Source: RNAcentral
UCAUAUGCUUGUCUCAAAGAUUAAGCCAUGCAUGUCUAAGUAUAAAUUGCUUAUACUAUGAAACUGCGAAUGGCUCAUUAAAUCAGUUGUAGUUUAUUUGAUGAUCCAAAUCUACUCGGAUAACUGUAGUAAUUCUACAGCUAAUACGUGCUUCAAGUCCCAACUUCUGGAAGGGACGUGGUUAUAAGACGUAAGGCCAACCGGGCUCUGCCCGAUUUGAGUUGAACCAUUAUAAGUCCACGAAUCGCAUAGCCUCGUGCUGGCGAUGUUUCAUUCAAAC